This 253-nucleotide ribosomal RNA is filed under the name uncultured bacterium. RNAcentral's name for it is "partial 16S ribosomal RNA". It matches the Rfam family "Bacterial small subunit ribosomal RNA", at positions 524 to 776 of the family's 1533-position model. The record is from RNAcentral.
UACGUAGGGACCGAGCGUUGUCCGGAAUCAUUGGGCGUAAAGAGCGUGUAGGCGGCCACUUAAGUCCUGCGUGAAAUCUUGCGGCUCAACCGCAAGCGGUCGUGGGAAACUGGGUGGCUAGAGUGCGGGAGAGGAGAGUGGAAUUCCUGGUGUAGCGGUGAAAUGCGCAGAUAUCAGGAAGAACACCAAUGGCGAAAGCAGCUCUCUGGGACGGUACUGACGCUGAGACGCGAAAGCGUGGGGAGCGAACAGG